Molecule: long non-coding RNA, 210 nt
Filed under: Elaeis guineensis (African oil palm)
Lineage: Eukaryota; Viridiplantae; Streptophyta; Magnoliopsida; Arecales; Arecaceae
Description: long non-coding RNA (EGUI_LNC031033)
Source: RNAcentral
CCCUCACAUCCAGAUAGUAUAGAGUCUCAUGGCUGAAGGCCACAUUCAUGGGGAUGGAUUCUUUGUGAUGGUAAAUCACUGAGACCAAACCAAGAAUGAAUUACAUUGUGAAAAAGAAUGUGUAUUAUAAGAUUGAAUUUGUGAUCUCGAGGUGUGUAUAAUCACUAUCCUUAAGGUGAUUGUUGCCCCCACUAUAAACAAUUUGUCGUG